RNAcentral lists this transfer RNA (69 nucleotides) under Marmota monax (woodchuck). RNAcentral's name for it is "tRNA.Ala". Lineage: Eukaryota; Metazoa; Chordata; Mammalia; Rodentia; Sciuridae. The record is from RNAcentral.
GGGGUUGUGGCUCAGUGGUAGAGUGCUCGCCUAGCAUAUGUGAGGCACUAGGUCCGAUCCUCAACACCA